CAGCAGGAUGUUCGAGGCCUUAACGUCUCUGUGGAUGAUCGGGUGAUCUGCCAGGUCAAACAAACCAAAAGAAUCACAUUUACAAGUUGUAAUGCAUCAGAUAAUUGUGCUAAUUGAAGUUUGUCAAUGAUUGACAGAUCCUAUCUCAAAGGUCUGCCAUGUCUAAGAAGAUUAUGAUAUGUAGUGUAGGGAAAAGAACAUUGCCUACCAUCCAAGUGUUCACGUAGAUUGCCGUUGCUAACAUACUCAACCACCAUCAGACGUUCUCUAUCAGUCUCCAAAUAUCCAAGAAGUCUGACUAGGUUUGAAUGCU
Zingiber officinale is the source of this 313-nucleotide long non-coding RNA. RefSeq lists it as uncharacterized. The transcript has 3 exons. NCBI's taxonomy places the organism in Eukaryota, Viridiplantae, Streptophyta, Magnoliopsida, Zingiberales, Zingiberaceae. The record is from RefSeq and is a predicted model, not a curated record.